GAUCAUGGCUCAGGAUGAACGCUGGCGGCGUGCUUAACACAUGCAAGUCGAACGGGGUUACGAUGUGUGAGGAAAGAAGCUUGCUUUGGACUAAACUUUCGUAACCUAGUGGCGGACGGGUGAGUAACGCGUGGGUAACCUGCCGUAUGCCGGGGGACAACAGUUGGAAACGACUGCUAAUACCGCAUAAGCGCACAGAUAGGCAUCUAUCAGUGUGAAAAACUCCGGUGGCAUACGAUGGACCCGCGUCUGAUUAGCCAGUUGGCGGUGUAACGGACCACCAAAGCGACGAUCAGUGGCCGGCCUGAGAGGGUGAACGGCCACAUUGGGACUGAGACACGGCCCAAACUCCUACGGGAGGCAGCAGUGGGGAAUAUUGGACAAUGGGGGAAACCCUGAUCCCAGCGACGCCGCGUGAGUGAAGAAGUAUUUCGGUAUGUAAAGCUCUAUCAGCAGGAAAGAAAAUGACGGUACCUGACUAAGAAGCCCCGGCUAACUACGUGCCAGCAGCGGC
This 514-nucleotide ribosomal RNA is filed under the name uncultured bacterium. RNAcentral describes it as "bacterial SSU rRNA". It matches the Rfam family "Bacterial small subunit ribosomal RNA", at positions 15 to 518 of the family's 1533-position model. The record is from RNAcentral.